UCCUACGGGAGGCAGCAGUGGGGAAUAUUGCACAAUGGGCGCAAGCCUGAUGCAGCGACGCCGCGUGGAGGAUGACGGCCUUCGGGUUGUAAACUCCCUUUGUUUGGGACGAAGCUUUUUUAAGUGACGGUACCUUAGGAAGAAGCACCGGCUAACUACGUGCCAGCAGCCGCGGUAAUA
This 180-nucleotide ribosomal RNA is filed under the name uncultured bacterium. Its description in RNAcentral is "partial 16S ribosomal RNA". It matches the Rfam family "Bacterial small subunit ribosomal RNA", at positions 337 to 525 of the family's 1533-position model. The record is from RNAcentral.